GGAAACAGAUGCUAAUACCGGAUAACAACAGAUGAUGCCUAUCAACUGUUUAAAAGAUGGUUCUGCUAUCACUCUUGGAUGGACCUGCGGUGCAUUAGCUAGUUGGUAGGGUAACGGCCUACCAAGGCGAUGAUGCAUAGCCGAGUUGAGAGACUGAUCGGCCACAUUGGGACUGAGACACGGUCCAAACUCCUACGGGAGGCAGCAGGU
Molecule: ribosomal RNA, 210 nt
Filed under: uncultured Lactobacillus sp.
Lineage: Bacteria; Bacillati; Bacillota; Bacilli; Lactobacillales; Lactobacillaceae
Description: partial 16S ribosomal RNA
Rfam family: Bacterial small subunit ribosomal RNA
Source: RNAcentral